RNAcentral lists this long non-coding RNA (1657 nucleotides) under Zea mays. RNAcentral's name for it is "long non-coding RNA (ZMAY_LNC001339)". The record is from RNAcentral. Lineage: Eukaryota; Viridiplantae; Streptophyta; Magnoliopsida; Poales; Poaceae.
CGGCUUCAUAUUAAUAUAUCACAUGUACUACACGUGGUACACUUGUUCAAACGAUUAAUAUGGUCAUGUUUAUUUUGGCUUUUUUAGUUUCUGACUAUCAAAAAAAGUGCAGACUGUCAAACGCUCAGCUUUUUAACCUGCUUAUAGAAUCAACAUGAACAUAGAAUCGAGCGAGUUGUUGUAAUAGUAGAAAUCUAUCACUUUCUAGAUCAUGAACUCUAUAGAUAUCUUCAUCUUUCUCCGCACUUAAUCCACGCGAUACUUAGAUUCUCCCUAUAGUCAAAUUCUCGCCACAAACAGAUCCUCAGAAAAAGCUGGUAAAAAACCUGAACCAAACAGAUUUAUAUGUCACAUGAAAAAAAAUUAGUAGUCUUUCCUGUUUCCAGAGCAUCCUCAUUCACAAAUCUAACAAAAUUAUGUCAUAUGUAAAACUAAGUUUGCAAAAAAAAACACCUGCGUGUAUAAAUUGAGGGGGAUAAGGUGUCCUGGUCUUCAAGAUCUAAGGAUCAAAUCUAAGCCCUAAAGAUUCAAGCAACAGAUUAGCCAAUUUUGGAAGACACAAGAAAAGAGAUGAUAAACAAAUAGAGAUUACACGUUUCAGCAUGGCGUCCAAAACAAUAGUGUUAGUUUCUCUAAUCUCUAAAGAUCUAAACGUGAAACUUUUAGAAAAAGGCUAAAUUUAAAAUUCCGGACGUCAUGUCCCUGUCAUACAAUACGGUCGUUCGAAUUGAUUGUAUGUACCGCUCCGCUGUUAUACGGCGCACAUGCCUACGACUACGUGCAACGUAACGUGGCCGGUGGAACGGACACACAGUGAUGGCUACUAGCGAGGGGCAUAACCGUCUCACGCGUGGAACGGGCCGUUGCCGGCCGCGCCGUCUCACGCGCCCGCCCCUUUCUGCAGCUCGGCCCGGACGGCGGAGCACGGCACGGCACGAGAGGCCCCCACGACGAGACCCCCCGUCCCGUCUGGCCGUUUCCCCCUCUCCGCACCGCACUCGGCACUCCACUCUCCUCCCCCUGACCCCGAGUUGAGUCCACUCUGCUGUCCGCUCACACCAACUCCUCCAUCCAACUCGGCAACUCCACGCAGCCAGCCCGGCGCCUCCCAUCAGUGGGUGGGUGGGUGGUUCGCCUCCUCAUCCUCUCCUCCCCGCACGUCCACGGCGAUGGCGCCCGCGCCCCCGCACUGCUGACCCACCCCCGCCGCGCACUCUCAUGACCGUGGUUUGGUAGGUGGGGCGGAGGUUGGUAGGCCGGGACGUGCCGGCAGGCGGUUACGGGAGGCGCGGCCGCGAUCCCGGGCCGGAUCUGGACGCCGCGAUGGAGGACGCCGUUGCCGCUGAGAAUGGGAUCGAGGGGGAGGGCUACGUCGUCGUCAAGGCGGCGGCGGCCGCGGAGGCGGAGGGGGACUCCGGCGCCAGCGAUCGUGGGGAUCUCGCCGCCCCCGCUGAGGACGCGGCGCCGGCCGGAUCUGAGGACGCCCCGGCCCCGGCGGUGACGCCGGACGAGACCGCGGCACCUGCCAAGGCGCCGGCCAAGGUGAGUGCCGUCCCGCAUACUGGCUUGGCUGCCUUCGCCCGUGCGGGGGUGGUGAUCCGGCACUGACCGUCGCUAGGUUGUGCGUGCAGAAGGGUGGAUCCGGGGACGCCGCCGG